AGCGAACGCUGGCGGCAGGCCUAAUACAUGCAAGUCGAACGGCUCUUCGGAGCAGUGGCGGACGGGUGAGUAACACGUGGGAACGUGCCCUAUGAUACGGAACAACUGAGGGAAACUUCAGCUAAUACCGUAUGUGCCCCCAUUCUUAGCGGGAUGGGUGGGAAAGAUUUAUCGCCAUUGGAGCGGCCCGCGUUGGAUUAGCUAGUUGGUGGGGUAAAGGCCCACCAAGGCUACGAUCCAUAGCUGGUCUGAGAGGAUGAUCAGCCACACUGGGACUGAGACACGGCCCAGACUCCUACGGGAGGCAGCAGUAGGGAAUCUUGCGCAAUGGGCGAAAGCCUGACGCAGCCAUGCCGCGUGAAUGAUGAAGGUCUUAGGAUUGUAAAAUUCUUUCACCGGGGAAGAUAAUGACGGUACCCGGAGAAGAAGCCCCGGCUAACUUCGUGCCAGCCGCCGCGGUAA
Molecule: ribosomal RNA, 462 nt
Filed under: uncultured bacterium
Lineage: Bacteria
Description: partial 16S ribosomal RNA
Rfam family: Bacterial small subunit ribosomal RNA
Source: RNAcentral